Molecule: ribosomal RNA, 406 nt
Filed under: uncultured bacterium
Lineage: Bacteria
Description: partial 16S ribosomal RNA
Rfam family: Bacterial small subunit ribosomal RNA
Source: RNAcentral
AUUGAACGCUGGCGGCAGGCCUAACACAUGCAAGUCGAACGAGUGGCGGACGGGUGAGUAAUGUCUGGGAAACUGCCUGAUGGAGGGGGAUAACUACUGGAAACGGUAGCUAAUACCGCAUACCAUCAGAUGUGCCCAUAUGGGAUUAGCUAGUUGGUGGGGUAACGGCUGACCAAGGCGACGAUCCCUACCUGGUCUGAGAGGAUGACCAGCCACACGGUAGCUGAGACACGGUCCAGAAGCCUACGGUAGGCAGCAGUGGGGAAUAUUGCACAAUGGGCGCAAGCCUGAUGCAGCCAUGCCGCGUGGAUGAAGAAGGCCUUCGGGUUGUAAAGUACUGUCAGCGGGGAGGCGUUACCCGCAGAAGAAGCACCGGCUAACUCCGUGCCAGCAGCCGCGGUAAUAC